Long non-coding RNA from Vitis vinifera (wine grape), 754 nucleotides. RefSeq lists it as uncharacterized. The record is from RefSeq and is a predicted model, not a curated record. Lineage: Eukaryota; Viridiplantae; Streptophyta; Magnoliopsida; Vitales; Vitaceae. The transcript is spliced from 4 exons.
CCCUUCACUAAUUUACAUCGAUAUUUUUCUGUUGAAAUUAAAACCUAAGGUUAAGUUGAUAAGGCGCGGCCUUCCUUCUGAUAUUGAAGCGGCUUACGUUCCUUUCCUCUCGGCUACGUCGGCACUGCCACUUCAUCUGAGUCUGGAUCUAGGCUUCUCCGUAACUCUCUCUCGGCGUUUGUUGAUUUUCUCAAUCUAAGAUGCAGGCCAGUGAUAGGUUUAAUAUUAACUCCCAGCUUGAGCAUCUGCAAGCAAAAUAUGUUGGAACUGGUCAUGCUGACUUGAAUAGAUUUGAAUGGGCGGUGAAUAUCCAGCGUGAUAGCUAUGCAUCAUAUGUUGGCCACUACCCCUUACUGGCGUAUUUUGCUAUUGCUGAAAACGAAUCAAUUGGAAGAGAGCGCUACAAUUUUAUGCAGAAAAUGCUUUUGCCUUGCGGUCUCCCCCCUGAAAGAGAGGACGAUUGAUUGUUGUUGUUUGGCAGACGCUGAAGCAGGACACUGAAGAUGGAUCUUUGCUGGCUUUUGUGUACCUCCUAUGUCCUUUGAUGUGCAAUAUGUGACUUGUGGAGAAUUUUAAUAUUGCAAUUGGAACAACGGAGCUAUAGCAGCAUAGGAUAUUUCCAUCUGGUUUUAAGGACAGACCUGUCAAAGACCCUUGUACUAAUUUGUUUGAUGAACAUUGGUACAAGUUCUCAAACCCAGCUAGGUUUAUCUUAUCUAUUUGAUCGAGUAGGUAUUAUAUAUUACCUUAUUAA